UUACUAGGAUUAGAUACCCUAUUAUACAUUUAUUAAAAUAUUUUAUAUCAGACUAUUUUUAGUUAUGUUCUUAAAAAUCAAAGAACUUGGCGGUGUUUUAGUCCUGUUAGAGGAACCUGUUUUAUAAGUGAUAAUCCACGUAGUAUCUUGCUUAAUUUUGUUUACAGUUUGUAUACCGUCAUUAUUAGAUAAUUCUUAUAGGAUAAAUAAUUGAAAUAGAUAGACGGUUCUAGUAUAUUAGAUCAAGGUGCAGCUAAUAGUUAAGUAAAAAUGGGUUACAUUAUUAUAGAAUUAUAUGGAUUAAUUUCUGAAUAGUAAUUAUGAAGGUGGAUUUAAUUGUAAUUUCUUUUUAAUAUGUUAAAAUGAUAGUGGCUCUAAAUCAUGUACAUAUCGCC
This 395-nucleotide ribosomal RNA is filed under the name Upogebia pusilla (Mediterranean mud shrimp). Its description in RNAcentral is "partial 12S ribosomal RNA". Lineage: Eukaryota; Metazoa; Arthropoda; Malacostraca; Decapoda; Upogebiidae. The record is from RNAcentral.